UACGUAGGGACCAAGCGUUGUUCGGAUUUACUGGGCGUAAAGGGCGCGUAGGCGGCAAUUCAAGUCAGCUGUGAAAUCUCCGGGCUUAACUCGGAACGGUCAGCUGAUACUGCUUUGCUAGAGUACAGAAGGGGCAAUCGGAAUUCUUGGUGUAGCGGUGAAAUGCGUAGAUAUCGUCAGGAACGCCGGUGGUGAAGACGGGUGACUGGGCUGGUUCUGACACAGAGGCACGAAAGCGUGGGGAGCGAACGGG
Molecule: ribosomal RNA, 253 nt
Filed under: uncultured prokaryote
Description: partial 16S ribosomal RNA
Rfam family: Bacterial small subunit ribosomal RNA
Source: RNAcentral